UGUCUCGACAACAGGUGUUUUGAUCUACCAAUUUCCUAUAAAUACCCAAUUUUGUAGGAGUUUUUUCUACCAUAGUCCUAUCAAAAUGGAUCAUUGACAAUUUUAACUGAUCUUUGGCUAACAUUUUAAAAUUUUGUGUCUAGUAGACUCUGCAAAUAAUAUUACGGAAUAAUAAAUAAAGUGGGAAAUAUAAAACGAAAUUUCAGCUGCUGAAACCACUAAAGAACCGAAGACAUUUGAUAUAUACAUAAGUAUCUUCAGAGCUACAAUCAAAAAUUGAUUUGUGAAAGCUGCCUCCCCAAACAGCAGCUAGAGCACGACAAUCCCGGCUUUUUUAAGCCGGAAAAAUCUGCAGUAUGGCCACGGGCUCGAGAUGUUAUUUGGCCCAAGGACCAGACGCAAAACAGGAAUGUCCACUUGAUAUCAUGCAUGCGAAAAUAGCAACUGGUCUGAGCCGGAUCCCGAGUAAGCGAUGCAUGAUAAAAAAUACUUGUGGGGGUUCAAUGGGUUUUAAAUUAAAUGUAUGGAAAAAAUCGAUGUACAGAUAUAUUUUUUUAGCUUAACAUGCAAGUCCUAAUGUUAUUGUAAAACUCUUAUAAGUAAAUACAUAGCAUAUAUUUUUUUAUUUCUGUGCAAUAUUGUAAGCUA
Long non-coding RNA from Drosophila ficusphila, 648 nucleotides. RefSeq lists it as uncharacterized. Lineage: Eukaryota; Metazoa; Arthropoda; Insecta; Diptera; Drosophilidae. The record is from RefSeq and is a predicted model, not a curated record. The transcript is spliced from 2 exons.